CCUACGGGAGGCAGCAGUGGGGAAUAUUGCGCAAUGGGCGAAAGCCUGACGCAGCGACGCCGCGUGAGGGAUGAAGGUCUUCGGAUCGUAAACCUCUGUCAGCAGGGAAGAACGGUCACUGUGCUAAUCAGCAGUGAAUUGACGGUACCUGCAAAGGAAGCACCGGCUAACUCCGUGCCAGCAGCCGCGGUAAUACGGAGGGUGUGAGCGUUAAUCGGAAUUACUGGGCGUAAAGCGCUCGUAGGCGGUAUGUCAAGUCAAGGGUGAAAUCCCCGCGCUCAACGUGGGAACUGCCUUGGAAACUGGCAAACUGGAGUGUGUGAGAGGAUAGUGGAAUUCCAGGUGUAGGAGUGAAAGCCGUAGAUAUCUGGAGGAACAUCAGUGGCGAAGGCGACUAUCUGGCACAUAACUGACGCUGAGGAGCGAAAGCGUGGGUAGCAAACAGGAUUAGAUACCCUUGUAGUC
RNAcentral lists this ribosomal RNA (465 nucleotides) under uncultured bacterium. RNAcentral's name for it is "partial 16S ribosomal RNA". It matches the Rfam family "Bacterial small subunit ribosomal RNA", at positions 338 to 795 of the family's 1533-position model. The record is from RNAcentral.